UAGACUGUGUCUUCUGUGGUGCACCAAAGCCAAGAUCCAUCAGCACUUUUGCCUUUAGCUUUCAAGAUGUCAUCAAUGGUAGUGCUUUCAAAGCCAUGCUCUUCCAUGUUUACAGAACUAGCCGAUGUUGAAAAGCGUGAAAGCAUUGCAGGCCUCAUAUGGGGGUUUGCUACACGAAUUUGUUGCAAAACAGCAGUUUUCACAACGUUUCCAUGUGACAGAAAUGAUCGCACAGCACCUUGCAUCUUUACCUGAGGAUGAUCCGGAAGAAAAACUGUAGGUUGAAGAAGGAGGUUGAGAACCAAAAAAAGUGAAAGAGGAAGAGUUAGCUGUUUUGGAGAAUGAGACCUAAAGGAAGAUUAAGCGAAGCGAAGCUCAUGGAAUGGA
RNAcentral lists this unclassified non-coding RNA (387 nucleotides) under Hevea brasiliensis (rubber tree). Lineage: Eukaryota; Viridiplantae; Streptophyta; Magnoliopsida; Malpighiales; Euphorbiaceae. The record is from RNAcentral.